UACGUAGGGUGCAAGCGUUGUCCGGAAUUAUUGGGCGUAAAGAGCUCGUAGGCGGCUUGUCGCGUCUGCCGUGAAAGCCCGUGGCUUAACUACGGGUCUGCGGUGGAUACGGUCAGGCUAGAGGCUGGUAGGGGCAAGCGGAAUUCCUGGUGUAGCGGUGAAAUGCGCAGAUAUCAGGAGGAACACCGGUGGCGAAGGCGGCUUGCUGGGCCAGUUCUGACGCUGAGGAGCGAAAGCGUGGGGAGCGAACAGG
Molecule: ribosomal RNA, 253 nt
Filed under: uncultured bacterium
Lineage: Bacteria
Description: partial 16S ribosomal RNA
Rfam family: Bacterial small subunit ribosomal RNA
Source: RNAcentral